Paramuricea clavata is the source of this 73-nucleotide non-coding RNA. The record is from the annotation of a GenBank genome assembly. NCBI's taxonomy places the organism in Eukaryota, Metazoa, Cnidaria, Anthozoa, Malacalcyonacea, Plexauridae.
AACUCUGUUGCUCAGUUGGUUACAGGACUGCAUCGGAAUAGCAGGGUCUCAGGUUCGAGUCCUACCAGAGAGC